Molecule: ribosomal RNA, 449 nt
Filed under: uncultured organism
Description: partial 16S ribosomal RNA
Rfam family: Bacterial small subunit ribosomal RNA
Source: RNAcentral
CGUACACUCCUACGGGAGGCAGCAGUGGGGAAUAUUGGACAAUGGGCGCAAGCCUGAUCCAGCCAUGCCGCGUGAGUGAUGAAGGCCCUAGGGUUGUAAAGCUCUUUCACCGGUGAAGAUAAUGACGGUAACCGGAGAAGAAGCCCCGGCUAACUUCGUGCCAGCAGCCGCGGUAAUACGAAGGGGGCUAGCGUUGUUCGGAUUUACUGGGCGUAAAGCGCACGUAGGCGGACUAUUAAGUCAGGGGUGAAAUCCCGGGGCUCAACCCCGGAACUGCCUUUGAUACUGGUAGUCUUGAGUUCGAGAGAGGUGAGUGGAAUUCCGAGUGUAGAGGUGAAAUUCGUAGAUAUUCGGAGGAACACCAGUGGCGAAGGCGGCUCACUGGCUCGAUACUGACGCUGGGGUGCGAAAGCGUGGGGAGCAAACAGGAUUAGAAACCCUGGUAGUCC